RNAcentral lists this ribosomal RNA (484 nucleotides) under uncultured bacterium. Its description in RNAcentral is "partial 16S ribosomal RNA". It matches the Rfam family "Bacterial small subunit ribosomal RNA", at positions 30 to 507 of the family's 1533-position model. The record is from RNAcentral.
AUUGAACGCUAGCGGGAUGCUUUACACAUGCAAGUCGAACGGCAGCGCGGACUUCGGUCUGGCGGCGAGUGGCGAACGGGUGAGUAAUGUAUCGGAACGUGCCCAGUAGCGGGGGAUAACUACGCGAAAGCGUAGCUAAUACCGCAUACGCCCUACGGGGGAAAUCAGGGGAUCGUAAGACCUUGCACUAUUGGAGCGGCCGAUAUCGGAUUAGCUAGUUGGUGAGGUAACGGCUCACCAAGGCGACGAUCCGUAGCUGGUUUGAGAGGACGACCAGCCACACUGGGACUGAGACACGGCCCAGACUCCUACGGGAGGCAGCAGUGGGGAAUUUUGGACAAUGGGGGCAACCCUGAUCCAGCCAUCCCGCGUGUGCGAUGAAGGCCUUCGGGUUGUAAAGCACUUUUGGCAGGAAAGAAACGUCGCGGGCUAAUACCCCGUGGAACUGACGGUACCUGCAGAAUAAGCACCGGCUAACUACGUG